RNAcentral lists this non-coding RNA (76 nucleotides) under Streptococcus suis 89/1591. The record is from RNAcentral. Lineage: Bacteria; Bacillati; Bacillota; Bacilli; Lactobacillales; Streptococcaceae.
CAACUCUGUGAAAAAAGAUAAACAGCUCCUAGGAGGCUUGCCUCCGUCGUCGUGUUUCCUAUUUUUCUUUGAGUUG